CGCGCCCGCCGCCGAGUCCCGUCUCCUUAGGACACAGCCUCUGAGCGAAAUGACAACCAGCUGGAGGGAGGCAGCCUGGCAUUUCCGGUUUGGGGGGGAGGACACACCUCCUGCCCCGCCUUUCUCUCGUCUCUUCAGGCAGAGGCCGCGCCCCCGCCUGCUGCACCAGCCUCUUCCUGGCGACGGCCAUUUUUGGUAGGGGCACGAAGGUGCCACUCCGACAGCCAUCUUUCUGAGGGGCAAGCUUCCAAGCAAAGAGCCAUCUUGGAUUGGGGCAAGCAUCUACUAGCUGCCAGGGCGACGGCCAUCUUGGAUUGAAGAAAGCAGGCGCUUGAUUUAAAGUCCCUGUCCAAAAAGGAGUGAAAAGAGGAGAUACAACCCCUUCCCAGAACCAGAUGCCACAAAUAUAUCUGAGGACUGCGGGGGGCCAGUCUGCCUGAGACUGAAGGAAUUGUCUGACUGAAGGAAGAAUAAGGCAACUUUGUCUGAUGAACUGGAGUGGUGAUUAAUUCAUUUUCUCCUUCUAACCCUUUGUAGUACAAGUUUUUCCUCCAUAUUUUGUGUUGAACUAACCCUCCCACCACCCCCAUUGCUGCCAACACUCAUUGGUUAUUAUUACUGCAGUGAAAUCUAAUCAGAACUAAGAUCGACUCAUUACCCAGAGAAAACGCGUCUCUCAGACAAAGCAGCAAUUUAGUCUGAGUCACUGCAGCAUCCCUGAAUGUAUCCGAAACAAUAAAAAUCUGGGUAAACCAGUCCAUUAGUGAAAGAGCUGUCACCUCUUCCUCCUCCUGCACAGUCCCAAUAAGAAGCUCAACAAAUUCUGCUUGCCACAGAUAUGGCACGGAACAGGAAAUCCUCCUAUACCUUUUGUUCUCAGAAUACGUACUUCAGAGAAAGUUUGUGGCCCACCAAUUUGUUGCCUCUGCAUUAUAAUAGCUCUUAAAGAGGGGCUGGGAAGGGGAUAUUUUUAGCACUCUGCAGCAAGCCUAUGAUGUGCUGAGGAUCAGUACCUAGGCUACCAUCUAUUGUUUUAGAUCCCAAUCCUGACUGAGUGGUGAGUGCGGUGUCACACUGAACCCUAAUUAAGUUAAUAGAAAUUUGACUGAACACUGAAAUACGGUUCUCCUCUGGCUGUCCAAGGAAUAGGCCCCACAUGAGUAGUCUGGGGCUCUGUCACCCCUCUCCCAUGGGAGAAGGAAGGACCCAUGUGAAUAUCUAGGCUGAAAGUGAUGUGGGAAAAGGAGCAUGGGGACUAAAUACUGAGCUGCUUUUUUCCUUCCUCAGCAUAGUUGCGAAAAAGUUAUGCUUUUGGCUAACUGCCAAACUACAAUGCUGGCUUUGAACUUUGACUGUCAUGGGCACCAGUGCCAAGCAGAGCUAUCUGAAAUGAGAUUAUAACCAGCUGCAUUAGUAAUAUAAACUGCUUCACAGAGAGAUUCUCAAAGGUGCAAAGGAGAGUUAGCUCUAUAAUCCGGUAGGGACUGUCAGAAAGAGACAGCUCCAACAGAAAUGCAUGUUUCCCAUCACGCCCCACCAACCUGUGGCAUCAACAGCUUGUCAUUUUUACCAGGGCACUUGAGAUAUUUGGUGCUUCUAAGUACCCAAGUCUCAGAUUUCUUUAAAAAAAAAAGAUUUUUAGCCCUAAUGAUUACCAGGUAUAGCUUGAAAGUGUAGCUUAAGUUCUCCCAAAAGUUUUAAAAUCAGAAGGCAAACAAAAAGAACCCCAAACUUCAUGAUUUUGAGAGCUCUGAUUCAUGAUUUUUGAAGGCUUAGGAGUUGGCAAUAGAGAACACACUUCAACUUUAACCUGAAGUGACCACCUUCAGGUCUGUGAGCAAAGUUCACAUGCUCUACAUAGCCAUCCCUGACAAAAAGAGAGACCAUUGUGGCUGGA
Molecule: non-coding RNA, 1897 nt
Organism: Pelodiscus sinensis (Chinese soft-shelled turtle)
Lineage: Eukaryota; Metazoa; Chordata; Testudines; Trionychidae
Source: RefSeq, a predicted model, not a curated record